RNAcentral lists this ribosomal RNA (1103 nucleotides) under Acinetobacter sp. RNAcentral's name for it is "bacterial SSU rRNA". It matches the Rfam family "Bacterial small subunit ribosomal RNA", at positions 350 to 1445 of the family's 1533-position model. Lineage: Bacteria; Pseudomonadati; Pseudomonadota; Gammaproteobacteria; Moraxellales; Moraxellaceae. The record is from RNAcentral.
AGCAGUGGGGAAUAUUGGACAAUGGGGGGAACCCUGAUCCAGCCAUGCCGCGUGGGUGAAGAAGGCCUUAUGGUUGUAAAGCACUUUAAGCGAGGAGGAGGCUACUAGUAUUAAUACUACUGGAUAGUGGACGUUACUCGCAGAAUAAGCACCGGCUAACUCUGUGCCAGCAGCCGCGGUAAUACAGAGGGUGCGAGCGUUAAUCGGAUUUACUGGGCGUAAAGCGUGCGUAGGCGGCCAUUUAAGUCAAAUGUGAAAUCCCCGAGCUUAACUUGGGAAUUGCAUUCGAUACUGGAUGGCUAGAGUAUGGGAGAGGAUGGUAGAAUUCCAGGUGUAGCGGUGAAAUGCGUAGAGAUCUGGAGGAAUACCGAUGGCGAAGGCAGCCAUCUGGCCUAAUACUGACGCUGAGGUACGAAAGCAUGGGGAGCAAACAGGAUUAGAUACCCUGGUAGUCCAUGCCGUAAACGAUGUCUACUACCCGUUGGGGCCUUUGAGGCUUUAGUGGCGCAGCUAACGCGAUAAGUAGACCGCCUGGGGAGUACGGUCGCAAGACUAAAACUCAAAUGAAUUGACGGGGGCCCGCACAAGCGGUGGAGCAUGUGGUUUAAUUCGAUGCAACGCGAAAAACCUUACCUGGCCUUGACAUACUAGAAACUUUCCAAAAAUGGAUUGGUGCCUUCGGGAAUCUAGAUACAGGUGCUGCAUGGCUGUCAUCAACUCCUGUCCUGAGAUGUUGGGUUAAGUCCCGCAACAAGCGCAACCCUUUUCCUUACUUGCCAGCAUUUCGGAUGGGAACUUUAAGGAUACUGCCAGUGACAAACUGGAGGAAGGCGGGGACGACGUCAAGUCAUCAUGGCCCUUACGGCCAGGGCUACACACGUGCUACAAUGGUCGGUACAAAGGGUUGCUACCUAGCGAUAGGAUGCUAAUCUCAAAAAGCCGAUCGUAGUCCGGAUUGGAGUCUGCAACUCGACUCCAUGAAGUCGGAAUCGCUAGUAAUCGCGGAUCAGAAUGCCGCGGUGAAUACGUUCCCGGGCCUUGUACACACCGCCCGUCACACCAUGGGAGUUUGUUGCACCAGAAGUAGGUAGUCUAACCGCAAG